Molecule: ribosomal RNA, 553 nt
Filed under: uncultured bacterium
Lineage: Bacteria
Description: bacterial SSU rRNA
Rfam family: Bacterial small subunit ribosomal RNA
Source: RNAcentral
CGGGAGGCAGCAGUGGGGAAUAUUGCACAAUGGAGGAAACUCUGAUGCAGCGACGUCGCGUGAGCGAAGAAGGAAUUCGUUUCGUAAAGCCCUGUCCUAUGGGAAGAUAAUGACGGUACCAUAGGAGGAAGCCCCGGCUAACUACGUGCCAGCAGCCGCGGUAAUACGUAGGGGGCGAGCGUUGUCCGGAAUUAUUGGGCGUAAAGGGUACGUAGGCGGUUUUUUAAGUCUGGUGUGAAAUUGGUGGGCUCAACCCACCCAAGCAUUGGGAACUGGAAAACUUGAGUCAUGGAGAGGAAAGUGGAAUUCCUAGUGUAGCGGUGAAAUGCGUAGAUAUUAGGAGGAAUACCGGUGGCGAAGGCGACUUUCUGGACAUGUACUGACGCUGAGGUACGAAAGCGCGGGGAGCAAACAGGAUUAGAUACCCUGGUAGUCCACGCCGUAAACGAUGAGUGCUAGGUGUUGGGGGUCAAACCUCGGUGCCGCAGUUAACACAUUAAGCACUCCGCCUGGGGAGUACGUGCGCAAGCAUGAAACUCAAAGGAAUUGACGG